UGGGGAAUUUUGGACAAUGGGCGCAAGCCUGAUCCAGCCAUGCCGCGUGCGGGAAGAAGGCCUUCGGGUUGUAAACCGCUUUUGUCAGGGAAGAAAUCUUCUGAGUUAAUACCUCGGGAGGAUGACGGUACCUGAAGAAUAAGCACCGGCUAACUACGUGCCAGCAGCCGCGGUAAUACGUAGGGUGCAAGCGUUAAUCGGAAUUACUGGGCGUAAAGCGUGCGCAGGCGGUUUUGUAAGACAGAGGUGAAAUCCCCGGGCUCAACCUGGGAACUGCCUUUGUGACUGCAAGGCUUGAGUGCGGCAGAGGGGGAUGGAAUUCCGCGUGUAGCAGUGAAAUGCGUAGAUAUGCGGAGGAACACCGAUGGCGAAGGCAAUCCCCUGGGCCUGCACUGACGCUCAUGCACGAAAGCGUGGGGAGCAAACAGGAUUAGAUACCCUGGUAGUCCACGCCCUAAAACGAUGUCAACUGGUUGUUGGGAAGGUUCCUUCUCAGUAACGUAGCUAACGCGUGAAGUUGACCGCCUGGGAAGUACGGCCGCAAGGUUGAAACUCAAAUGAAUUGACGGGGUCAUAGCUGUUUCCUG
Molecule: ribosomal RNA, 587 nt
Filed under: uncultured bacterium
Lineage: Bacteria
Description: partial 16S ribosomal RNA
Rfam family: Bacterial small subunit ribosomal RNA
Source: RNAcentral